This 253-nucleotide ribosomal RNA is filed under the name uncultured bacterium. RNAcentral's name for it is "partial 16S ribosomal RNA". It matches the Rfam family "Bacterial small subunit ribosomal RNA", at positions 524 to 776 of the family's 1533-position model. The record is from RNAcentral.
UACGGGGGGGGCAAGCGUUGUUCGGAAUUACUGGGCGUAAAGGGUUCGUAGGUGGCUUGCUAAGUCAGACGUGAAAUCCCUCAGCUUAACUGGGGAACUGCGUCUGAGACUGGCAAGCUUGAGUGCAGGAGAGGAAUGCGGAAUUCCAGGUGUAGCGGUGAAAUGCGUAGAUAUCUGGAGGAACACCGGUGGCGAAGGCGGCGUUCUGGACUGCAACUGACACUGAGGAACGAAAGCCAGGGGAGCAAACGGG